AUUGAACGCUGGCGGCAGGCCUAACACAUGCAAGUCGAGCGGAUGAAGGGUUCUUUCUCCUGGAUUCAGCUGCGGACUGGUGUGUAAUUCCUAUGAAUCUGCCUUGUAUUUGUUUAUUACGUCCUGAAACGGGCUCUAAUACCUCAUACGUCCUUCGGUUGAUAGUUGGUGAUCUUCGUACCUCUCCCUAUCUUUUUUGCCUAGGUCGGAUUAGCUAGUUGGUUGGGUAAAGGCCUACCAAGGCGACGAUCCGUAACUGGUCUGAGAGGAUGAUCAGUCACACGGGAAGUGAGACACGGACAAGACUACUACGGGAGGAAGAAGUGGGGAAUAUGGGACAAUGGGGGAAAGCAUGAAACAGCAAGGCCGCGUGUGAGAAGAAGGUAUUCGGAUUGUAAAGCACUUUAAGUUGGGAGGAAGGGAAGUAAGUUAAUAACUUGCUGGUUUGACGUUAACAAAAGAAAAAGCACCGGCUAACUACGUG
RNAcentral lists this ribosomal RNA (484 nucleotides) under uncultured bacterium. Its description in RNAcentral is "partial 16S ribosomal RNA". It matches the Rfam family "Bacterial small subunit ribosomal RNA", at positions 30 to 507 of the family's 1533-position model. The record is from RNAcentral.